Molecule: long non-coding RNA, 1636 nt
Organism: Gasterosteus aculeatus aculeatus (three-spined stickleback)
Lineage: Eukaryota; Metazoa; Chordata; Actinopteri; Perciformes; Gasterosteidae
Source: RefSeq, a predicted model, not a curated record
GAAAGUAUGUGUUCUAUAGAACACAUACUUUCUGAUGUACCUACUAGCUGAAACCCCACACUUCCAUCCCCAUUAAUUUAAUUUUAAUUAUCCUGUGUUCUCUGUAGUGUUAAGUUUCCUUUGUAUUGAAAGCAGUCACAAUUGUCAUGUUUCCUAUGUAGUGUUAAGUUUCCUUUGUAUUGAAAGCAGACACAAUUGUCAUGUUUCCUAUGUAGUGCUAAGUUUCCUUUGUAAUGGACAGAAGACACAGUCCUCCUGUGUCCUCUAUAGUGUUACGUUUCCUUUCUGAUGGACAGGAGACAAAGUUCUCAUGUGUCUUUGUAGUGUUAUGUUUCCUUUCUGAUGGACAGGAGACACAGUCCUCCCUUAUCCUCUGUAAAGACACCUUUCAGUCUUGGCCUCACCUCCUUCUGCACUGUGAGGAUCAGCUCACAGCAUCUAAGACAUGACAAAGACUGUAGCACCAACUGAACUGUCAAUCAACCGAGGACCCAUCACAGUUAGACCCCAUAGGGACACAUUUGACUUCCUGCCUGUCCCCGUCAUUCUUCAAAGCAAAGGACGAGAAAACACCUGCCUGUCUUCGCCUCACUUCCUGUCUGGCUCUGAGAUUCGGGAUCAGCUCAUACCGACCAGGACAUCCUGCCACCACUGCAGAGCAGAUGUUGAAGCACCGUGUUAACUGUUCAUCAUCAGUGGACACUUACUGGACCACAGAGACACGUGUUCUCCCUGCCAGUGUUGAGGUUUCUUCACAACAGAUAAUAAGGUCUUCCUCCUCUGUGAUUCCUCCACUUCACAGUGAAGACACUCAGGACUCCAGAGAGCGCUGAACACAAAAGAAGCUGAACAUCAUGCAGCGUAUUCAGUUUCACUGGACCUAUAUGUUGAUCUGCUCUGCAGCAGAGUUCAAGUAUCAGGUGUGUGACUGCAAGGAAGAGUCAUCAGUCAGUCAUCACUGUCCCAGUGAAAACCUCACCUUUAUGCAGCUUCAAGCUCCUCCCUAAACCAGCUGUAAAGGCCUCUCCUCCUCCAUGUAGCUAUAGUAACACUAUCCUGAUGUGAUAACUGGAGCAGUGGAUCUACAGCCACUGCACAGGUCAAAGGUCAUAAUGUUACAGGUCUUCAGAGCAUACACUACUAACUCAUGAACAGUAUUACUACAGGACACCUGUCUAUUUUGUUUGUUUCAUCUCUACCGUAUUUGAUCUAACAAUAUACGUUUUCCUUAUGUUUCAUCGCAUUUUUUUUUGUUGAUUGUAUUUAUUUAUUUAUUAUUUUUUUAUUUGUCAUCCGUCCCUUUUCAGUCAGAUUUAUGAGAAAAUUAAGGAUGAAAAUGUUUGUUUGAUUGCCUCGUGCAUAUGAACAAAUUAACCUUGAAGAAAUGACAUAUUUGUAUCACAAUGAGUCAUUAGUAUGGGGUUUCAGCUGGUAGGUAUAUUAAAGGUUUUUCACAUGUGUACACCGAUCCUUAGGAUAACCUAAACUCUACUGAGGCUGCCCAGUGUUAAAUUGUAAGACUGUGAAAUCCAUCAAGUGUUUCAUCUUCAGAUGGCUAAAACAUGACUUGGUGCAAAGAGCCUUGUCAAAAGAUUUAAUAGGAAAACAAAUCCUACAAAGCUUGGGUCCUAACCUU